AAGUCGUAACAAGGUUUCCGUAGGUGAACCUGCGGAAGGAUCAUUAUUGAAAUAAACCUGAUGAGUUGUUGCUGGCUCUCUAGGGAGCAUGUGCACACUUGUCAUCUUUAUAUUUCCACCUGUGCACAAUCUGUAGACCUGGAUAUCUUUUCUGAAUGCUAUAGUUAGCACUCAGGUUUUGAGGAUUGAUAAUCUCUCCUUACAUUUCCGGGCCUAUGUUUCUUCAUAUACCCAAUGUAUGUUAUAGAAUGUAAUUAAUGGGCCUUUGUGCCUAUAAAAUUUAUACAACUUUCAGCAACGGAUCUCUUGGCUCUC
This 315-nucleotide unclassified non-coding RNA is filed under the name air metagenome. Its description in RNAcentral is "partial contains small subunit ribosomal RNA, internal transcribed spacer 1, and 5.8S ribosomal RNA". The stretch from base 1 to 46 matches the Rfam family "Eukaryotic small subunit ribosomal RNA", at positions 1786 to 1831 of the family's 1831-position model. The record is from RNAcentral.